CCUACGGGAGGCAGCAGUAGGGAAUAUUGCUCAAUGGGGGAAACCCUGAAGCAGCAACGCCGCGUGGAGGAUGAAGGUUUUCGGAUUGUAAACUCCUUUUGUCAGGGAACAAAGGCGGGGACUAGUCCCCGGAUUAGGGUACCUGAAGAAAAAGCAUCGGCUAACUCCGUGCCAGCAGCCGCGGUAAUACGGGGGAUGCGAGCGUUAUCCGGAUUUAUUGGGUGUAAAGGGUGCGCAGGCGGUCUGUUAAGUAAGCGGUAAAAGCCCGGGGCUCAACCCGGGCGAGCCGUUGAAACUGGCGGGCUGGAGUUGGAGAGAGGUACGCGGAAUGCGCGGUGUAGCGGUGAAAUGCUUAGAUAUCGCGCAGAACCCCGAUUGCGAAGGCAGCGUACCGGCUCCACACUGACGCUGAGGCACGAAAGCGUGGGUAUCGAACAGGAUUAGAUACCCCAGUAGUC
Molecule: ribosomal RNA, 458 nt
Filed under: uncultured bacterium
Lineage: Bacteria
Description: partial 16S ribosomal RNA
Rfam family: Bacterial small subunit ribosomal RNA
Source: RNAcentral